UCUUUGCAUUUAGAACGUAUUUUCUAAGAAAUUGUAUCUUUGCAUUUAGAAUGUAUUUUCUAAGAAAUUGUAACUUUGCAUUUAGAACGUAUUUUCUAAUAAACUGUAUCUUUGCAUUUAGAACAUAUUUUCUGAGAAAUUGUAUCUUUGCAUUAAGAACAUAUUUACUAAGAAAUUGUAUCUUUACAUUUAGAACGUAUUUUCUAAGAAAUUGUAACUUUGGAUUUAGAAUGUAUUUUCUAAGAAAUUGUAUCUUUGCAUUUAGAACGUAUUUUCUAAGAAAUUGUAUCUUUGCAUUUAGAACGUAUUUUUUAAGAAAUUGUAUCUUUGCAUUUAGAACAUAUUUUCUUAGAAAUUGUAACUUUGCAUUUAGAACGUAUUUUCUAAG
RNAcentral lists this long non-coding RNA (388 nucleotides) under Physcomitrium patens. Its description in RNAcentral is "long non-coding RNA (PPAT_LNC014873)". Lineage: Eukaryota; Viridiplantae; Streptophyta; Bryopsida; Funariales; Funariaceae. The record is from RNAcentral.